UACGUAGGGUGCAAGCGUUGUCCGGAAUUAUUGGGCGUAAAGAGCUUGUAGGCGGUUUGUCGCGUCUGCUGUGAAAUUUCGGGGCUCAACCCCGAACUUGCAGUGGGUACGGGCAGACUAGAGUGUGGUAGGGGAGACUGGAAUUCCUGGUGUAGCGGUGAAAUGCGCAGAUAUCAGGAGGAACACCAACAGCGAAGGCAGCACUCUGGGCCGGUACUGACGCUGAGGAGCGAAAGCCAGGGGAGCAAACGGG
This 253-nucleotide ribosomal RNA is filed under the name uncultured bacterium. RNAcentral's name for it is "partial 16S ribosomal RNA". It matches the Rfam family "Bacterial small subunit ribosomal RNA", at positions 524 to 776 of the family's 1533-position model. The record is from RNAcentral.